CCUACGGGAGGCAGCAGUGGGGGAUAUUGGACAAUGGGGGAAACCCUGAUCCAGCGAUGCCGCGUGAGGGAAGAAGGUUUUCGGAUUGUAAACCUCUGUGGAGGGGGACGAGAAUGACGGUACCCCUGUAGGAAGCCACGGCUAACUACGUGCCAGCAGCCGCGGUAAUACGGAAGGUCCGGGCGUUAUCCGGAUUGAUUGGGUUGAAAGGGAGCGUAGGCCGCCUGUCAAGCGUGCUGUGAAAUGUCCGGGCUCAACCCGGGCCUUGCAGCGCGAACUGGCGUGCUUGAGUCCGCGGAAAGCAGGCGGAAUUCGUCGUGUAGCGGUGAAAUGCUUAGAUAUGACGCAGAACCCCGAUUGCGAAGGCAGCUUGCUGCAGCGGAACUGACGCUGAUGCUCGAAAGCGCGGGUAUCGAACAGGAUUAGAUACCCGUGUAGUC
Molecule: ribosomal RNA, 440 nt
Filed under: uncultured bacterium
Lineage: Bacteria
Description: partial 16S ribosomal RNA
Rfam family: Bacterial small subunit ribosomal RNA
Source: RNAcentral